GAUGAACGCUGACAGAAUGCUUAACACAUGCAAGUCUUUGGCGAAGCUGUGCUUGCACCGCCUAGCCAAGGCGGACGGGUGAGUAACGCGUAAGGAACUUGCCCUGCAGUCAGGGAUAACAGACGGAAACGACUGAUAAGACCUGGUAAAGUCAGGCGGACUCACGUCCAGCCUGAUGAAAAGAGAUGCUGCAGGAGAGCCUUGCGUCCUAUUAGCUUGUUGGUGGGGUAACGGCCCACCAAGGCGAUGAUAGGUAGCCGGCCUGAGAGGGUGGACGGCCACAAGGGGACUGAGAUACGGCCCUUACUCCUACGGGAGGCAGCAGUGGGGAAUAUUGGACAAUGGGGGCAACCCUGAUCCAGCAAUUCUGUGUGCACGAUGAAGGUUUUCGGAUUGUAAAGUGCUUUCAGCAGGGAAGAAAAAAAUGACGGUACCUGCAGAAGAAGCGACGGCUAAAUACGUG
RNAcentral lists this ribosomal RNA (463 nucleotides) under uncultured bacterium. RNAcentral describes it as "partial 16S ribosomal RNA". It matches the Rfam family "Bacterial small subunit ribosomal RNA", at positions 28 to 507 of the family's 1533-position model. The record is from RNAcentral.